Molecule: long non-coding RNA, 641 nt
Filed under: Salvia miltiorrhiza (redroot sage)
Lineage: Eukaryota; Viridiplantae; Streptophyta; Magnoliopsida; Lamiales; Lamiaceae
Description: long non-coding RNA (SMIL_LNC005263)
Source: RNAcentral
AAAGAUAACCUCCCCCCUUUCCCUACCCAGCCACGAAGAGCUCUCCUCUAACACCCCAUGCCCCAUUACCGCUUCAAUUUCAUACUUCUCACUCACAAUCUGCUGCCACCACUAGUCUUUUUUUGUUCGUCUUCGAACUUGCUAUUUCUCUUCCGCCUCCACCCUCUCGUGGCGCGGCUAUUCGUGUUGCCUCAUUCCAGAGAUUUUCACAAGUUCUUAAUGGUAUGAACCCUAACUUGUCUAAUUGAACUUGUAGGAGACGAGUUUGCUUGACGAUUUUGAUUUCAAAUAUUACCUUGAGGCUAAAGGUGAAAUAACUGACAGCUAUAUAUUAAGCUCAUUAUGGUGUUCAGAUGUUAGGAAAUUUUGACUUAUUUAUUAUCUAUGUUUGGGAAUUAUAUUUUGUGAAAUUUGUUUGUAUUUGUGGUGGUUUUCACUGAAUUUGAAUUUUAUAUAGAUGUUUAGUAAAUUACUUGAGAUUUGAUGUGGAAGUUUAUCAUUAUUGCAGUCGUUGACGGAUGAUUGAGCAAUACUUGGCAAAUUUAUAUCUGUAAAUGCAAGUCCUUAUUUACAAUGGAUUGAUUGUUGGCAUGACUGUUGUUGUUCUUUAUUCGUUGCCUACAAGCUUUUUAUAGAAGAUG